Gadus morhua (Atlantic cod) is the source of this 638-nucleotide long non-coding RNA. RefSeq lists it as uncharacterized. The transcript has 3 exons. The record is from RefSeq and is a predicted model, not a curated record. NCBI's taxonomy places the organism in Eukaryota, Metazoa, Chordata, Actinopteri, Gadiformes, Gadidae.
UCGUUUCUUCGCCACUUCCCUGGUGGGUAUUCCCAAAUUGCGAUUCGAAGAUGUGCAGAAGAUUGUGGAGACACACUCAGCAACACCACAGCCCAGGCUGACAAAGGGGUACAAGUUUUUUGUGGAGGAGUUUGUACACAAUAAUCAAGAUCACCCUGGAGGCUGUUGGACAACUGGGUCUCUCAGAGCUGUAGCUGUGCUGCGGGAAAAGGCUUCUGUAGCCAUAUAACCGCUCUGCUGUUCCAGACAGCGCAUUAUGUGCAGCUGGGCCUUGAUGUGGUUCCACCUUCCCUGGCCUGUACCAGUCAACCACAGAUGUGGCAUCGACCUCGAACCCACGUGUGCUGUUGUGUCCUCUGUUCAAAUCAUACACUUCAGUAUUUGUCUAGAGUAUAUGAGCAUUUCCUGUAUUGUUGUUCGCCUCAGGGAAUCUACCCAGAGGCUGUGAGUGACCUGGUGGUGAAGAAACCCAAGUCGGUGGGGAAGACUGGAGUCAAGUCCACACUCUACAGAGCGUAUGCUGAGGGAAUAUCCAGCUUGGAGUUGGUACCAUCUCAGCUGUGCUGACCUGGAAGAUGUCAGCAAUGACCUGUUCUUUAAGGCCAGUUGCUACUCUACAACAGUAGAUGAAAAACUCA